This is a long non-coding RNA of Pleuronectes platessa (European plaice), 1634 nucleotides long. RefSeq lists it as uncharacterized. NCBI's taxonomy places the organism in Eukaryota, Metazoa, Chordata, Actinopteri, Pleuronectiformes, Pleuronectidae. The record is from RefSeq and is a predicted model, not a curated record. The transcript has 3 exons.
ACAGGUUUACUCCGAGUGUGAGAUAUAAAUGUGUCCAGCACAAAACACCAAGAACAUGGAGCAUGUUUAAAAAAAAAGUCUGUAAUUCAUUUUCUAUUUGGAAUAUUUGAGACAGUUCACAUGUUCAAAGAGCCACAGAAACCAAAGCUUGUGCUCGGCAGCAGUUUAAACAUUACAUAAGGAGGUGUUUAUAUAACUGCUCUCCCCUCACUUUGCUCUGGAUCGAGUUCAGCAGCAUAUUUGGAGAAGGUGCAGCUCGGUGUCUGUCAGUCGCCUCGUGACUCACGGAGCAGAGGGUUAAACAGUAGACGUCAAAAUACACAGGGACGUUGCUCAGAUCAGUUACUGAGGGAAGAGCAGCAGUGGUGGAAGUUUUGAACCUGAAGAAAACAAAUAGACAAAUCAGAUAAGAUGAGAUUUGUCUUAUUGAUCUUCUGUGGAGGAAAACUUCAAGUGACAAGGUAGAGGCACAAGGGGAAAAAUUAUUUCCUCAACAACCAAAAGGACAGAAGCACGUUGACGGAAAAACGAUUCUGGAUUAACAAGUGACAUAUGGUCGGCUGCUGCAGCACGAGAUAAAUGACAAGAACAGGCAUCGCAGGCUGGAGAGAACACACAACUGAGGGCAGAGCGCCAGAGAGACCGGGCGACGGGGGGGAGGGUCGACGAGAGGCUUUAACUGAGCUUAUGUUUGACCUUUGUGACCUUUCAGGGACAUCUGACGCUGUGUGGUUAGAGGAGGGUCGGCACACAUUCUCAACAAGUUGUGGUCCAUUGUUAAAGCACACAAGGAUAAUAAAGGCUUCUCUGAUCUGCAGCUUUGUGUUGCACAGAUUAUGACACAAUAGAAACCUGGCUACUCAUUUGAUAUAUAUGAAUAAACAAGAAACCCAAACUGAAAGUCCCACGUGAUGACUACACACGUCUCUGCGGUGGUUUUGCAUCACUUUAAAGUCCUUUAGCAUCUUGUGUCCAAUCAACCGUUUGAAUCCUUAUUGAACACUUCAGUGGUUGUUUAGUGGUCAUUGUGUAUCUAUGUGUAGUUUUUUCCUCUUUAUGUAACUUCUCUAUUUCUCUGAGUUUUUAUGUUUUGCCUCAUGUUGUCACUUAGCAUCUCUGUAAAUUCGUUUUUGCAUCAAUUUGAUGCAAACUCUGUGUGUCUGUGAGUGUUUGGUGUGUGUAGCUGGUCAUUUGGUAUCUCAAUGGUCAUUAUUGAUUCCUCAUUCUAGUUUUGCAUCUGUUUACACACAUUCUACAUUUGAUCUGUGGGUGUUUAGUGUGUCUGUGUGCUAGUUUUACAUCCCUGUGGAGUAAUUUUUGUGGAUUUUUGGUUCUUUUCAGUGCAAUUUUGACAGGUUGCAUCUCUUUUGUAGGUAUUUGUUUAAAUUGGUGUUUCUUUGUGGUGAUUUUUUGUCUGUCUGAGGUCAUUUUGUAUCUGUACAAUCAUUUAUUCCCAUGUUGUGGUAGUUUUGUUUUGCUUUGUAGUAAUUUGUAUGUAUUUUGUAGCUUUGCAUCUUUCUGUUGUUGUACUGGAUCUAGUUUAUUAUGUCUAUGUUAGAGCUGCAUGUUUGAAACAUGUGUUUCUUUGAGGUUAUGUGAGUCUUGUAUAAACGUUGAGCAGAUUUAAGGUCCCA